Molecule: long non-coding RNA, 448 nt
Filed under: Papio anubis (olive baboon)
Lineage: Eukaryota; Metazoa; Chordata; Mammalia; Primates; Cercopithecidae
Description: lncRNA (ENSPANG00000040037.1)
Source: RNAcentral
GUGGAGGAAAUUAAAUUCCAGUCACGUCUGAGGUCCUCUGCUCUGCUCCCCACACCAGGUCCCAGUGGAGGCUGAGAGCCCCUGGCCUUCCUACAUGUGGCCUUCCCCACACCUUGAGGGCCUGGCCACCUCCACCAACAAAACUCCAGGGCCCCCUCCUAGGCUGGGAGAAAUUCCUCAUCACUCUUCUGUCCUGGGCUACUUUAAAGGUCCAUCUAGGACACCCAGCAUCAUCUCUGCAUUUUGGCGUCUACAAAAUACAGCAAGAGAUUUAAUUUUCAGCCCAGUGAGACGGUGGAGGAGAGGCGAGUCAUGCCACUGCAGUUCCUCGCUAUGCCAUUCAUACAGAGCAUUCUCCAUGCCCAGGAGUCCAGGAGUCCAGUGGGCCCAUGAUGCCCAGGAGUUCCUCGACACUCAGGGAGGUGCGGAAGACGUACUUAAAACCUGA